GACGAACGCUGGCGGCGUGCUUAACACAUGCAAGUCGAACGAAGAGCGAUGGAAGCUUGCUUCUAUCAAUCUUAGUGGCGAACGGGUGAGUAACGCGUAAUCAACCUGCCCUUCAGAGGGGGACAACAGUUGGAAACGACUGCUAAUACCGCAUACGAUCUAAUCUCGGCAUCGAGGAUAGAUGAAAGGUGGCCUCUACAUGUAAGCUAUCACUGAAGGAGGGGAUUGCGUCUGAUUAGCUAGGUGGAGGGGUAACGGCCCACCAAGGCGAUGAUCAGUAGCCGGUCUGGGAGGAUGAACGGCCACAUUGGGACUGAGACACGGCCCAGACUCCUACGGGAGGCAGCAGUGGGGAAUCUUCCGCAAUGGACGAAAGUCUGACGGAGCAACGCCGCGUGUGUGAUGACGGCCUUCGGGUUGUAGAGCUCUGUUAAUCGGGACGAAAGGCCUUCUUGCGAAUAGUGAGAAGGAUUGACGGUACCGGAAUAGAAAGCCACGGCUAACUACGUGC
Molecule: ribosomal RNA, 511 nt
Filed under: uncultured bacterium
Lineage: Bacteria
Description: partial 16S ribosomal RNA
Rfam family: Bacterial small subunit ribosomal RNA
Source: RNAcentral